This 228-nucleotide ribosomal RNA is filed under the name uncultured fungus. RNAcentral describes it as "partial 18S ribosomal RNA". It matches the Rfam family "Eukaryotic small subunit ribosomal RNA", at positions 40 to 274 of the family's 1831-position model. The record is from RNAcentral. Lineage: Eukaryota; Fungi.
AAGAUUAAGCCAUGCAUGUCUAAGUAUAAGCAACUAUACAGUGAAACUGCGAAUGGCUCAUUAAAUCAGUUAUCGUUUAUUUGAUAGUACCUUACUACUUGGAUAACCGUGGUAAUUCUAGAGCUAAUACAUGCUAAAAAUCCCGACCUCCGGAAGGGAUGUAUUUAUUAGAUAAAAACCAAUGGCUUCGGCCUCUUUGGUGAUUCAUGAUAACUUAACGAAUCGCAU